RNAcentral lists this ribosomal RNA (531 nucleotides) under uncultured bacterium. RNAcentral describes it as "partial 16S ribosomal RNA". It matches the Rfam family "Bacterial small subunit ribosomal RNA", at positions 355 to 895 of the family's 1533-position model. The record is from RNAcentral.
UGGGGAAUAUUGCACAAUGGGCGAAAGCCUGAUGCAGCAACGCCGCGUGAGGGACGACGGCCUUCGGGUUGUAAACCUCUUUUAGCAAGGAAGAAGCGAAAGUGACGGUACUUGCAGAAAAAGCGCCGGCUAACUACGUGCCAGCAGCCGCGGUAAUACGUAGGGCGCAAGCGUUAUCCGGAAUUAUUGGGCGUAAAGAGCUCGUAGGCGGUUUGUCGCGUCUGCUGUGAAAACCCGAGGCUCAACCUCGGGCCUGCAGUGGGUACGGGCAGACUAGAGUGCGGUAGGGGAGAUUGGAACUCCUGGUGUAGCGGUGGAAUGCGCAGAUAUCAGGAAGAACACCGAUGGCGAAGGCAGAUCUCUGGGCCGUAACUGACGCUGAGGAGCGAAAGGGUGGGGAGCAAACAGGCUUAGAUACCCUGGUAGUCCACCCCGUAAACGUUGGGAACUAAGUUGUGGGGUCCAUUCCACGGAUUCCGUGACGCAGCUAACGCAUUAAGUUCCCCGCCUGGGGAGUACGGCCGCAAGGCU